UGUUAAGAUAUGACUUGCUCCUCCUUGUCUUCCGCCAUUAUUGUGAGGCCUCCCCAGCCAUGUGAAACUGAGGAAGAGGCAGAGCAAGACGGCUCAAUAGAAGCCUCCAUUAAUUGUCCUCCCCACUGGAAUACCAAAUUGAACAACUACCCACACAAAGAAGCACCUUCAUGAGAACCAAAAAUCAGGUGCCAGACAGAAAGUCAUCUCUCUGCUCACCUGAGACAAAUGCAGAUUCAUUGAGCCAGACUAAGGCAUAAGUGACUAUUCUUCUAUGUUCUCCAACAUGUAAAUUGUGUAUUCAG
Pongo pygmaeus (Bornean orangutan) is the source of this 305-nucleotide long non-coding RNA. RefSeq lists it as uncharacterized. The transcript is spliced from 3 exons. Lineage: Eukaryota; Metazoa; Chordata; Mammalia; Primates; Hominidae. The record is from RefSeq and is a predicted model, not a curated record.